GUUGAAAGACGUUGUUGCAGUAGGAACAAACUACCAAACAAGAAGGGUGGCUAGACAGUUUGGUGUAACUACUGUUGAUUUGAAUGAUGUUAGUGGUGUUGACGUUGCCUUUGAUAUUGUGGAUGAAGUGGACAUCAAUAAAAACCUAUUAAAGGUUGGUGGAGCUAACCAUACAGUGCAGAAGGUGGGUAAAGACUAUUUGGAUUGUUCGGCAGCAUAUGAUAUUAGUUUUUUUGUUUUUUUGUUUUUUUUUUAGAAAAGAUGCAGGAUUUAAGCAGCGCUGUAAAAAUAUAGAA
This is a long non-coding RNA of Morus notabilis, 296 nucleotides long. RefSeq lists it as uncharacterized. NCBI's taxonomy places the organism in Eukaryota, Viridiplantae, Streptophyta, Magnoliopsida, Rosales, Moraceae. The transcript is spliced from 3 exons. The record is from RefSeq and is a predicted model, not a curated record.